GACGAACGCUGGCGGCGUGCUUAACACAUGCAAGUCGAACGAAGAGCGAUGGAAGCUUGCUUCUAUCAAUCUUAGUGGCGAACGGGUGAGUAACGCGUAAUCAACCUGCCCUUCAGAGGGGGACAACAGUUGGAAACGACUGCUAAUACCGCAUACGAUCCAAUCUUGGCAUCGAGACUGGAUGAAAGGUGGCCUCUAUUUAUAAGCUAUCACUGAAGGAGGGGAUUGCGUCUGAUUAGCUAGUUGGAGGGGUAACGGCCCACCAAGGCGAUGAUCAGUAGCCGGUCUGAGAGGAUGAACGGCCACAUUGGGACUGAGACACGGCCCAGACUCCUACGGGAGGCAGCAGUGGGGAAUCUUCCGCAAUGGACGAAAGUCUGACGGAGCAACGCCGCGUGAGUGAUGACGGCCUUCGGGUUGUAAA
This 424-nucleotide ribosomal RNA is filed under the name uncultured bacterium. RNAcentral's name for it is "bacterial SSU rRNA". It matches the Rfam family "Bacterial small subunit ribosomal RNA", at positions 28 to 429 of the family's 1533-position model. The record is from RNAcentral.